This is a long non-coding RNA of Esox lucius (northern pike), 474 nucleotides long. The record is from Ensembl. NCBI's taxonomy places the organism in Eukaryota, Metazoa, Chordata, Actinopteri, Esociformes, Esocidae.
GUUUCUGUCAGUGACCAGGUUCCUGUCAGUGACCAGGUUCCUGUCAGUGACCAGGUUCCUGUCAGUGACCAGGUUCCUAUCAGUGACCAGAUUUCUGUCAGUUACCAGGUUUCUGACAGUGACCAGGGUCGCAUUAAGGUAAUGAAACAGUUGCAUGAACAUUUUCGUCGCACAACCUUUUCUUAACUGACAACACCUGAAUGUGGACCACCCCAGCAGUACAUGUAGAUGAGGCAGGCUGACCUCACUAUCACCAAAAGCCAACAAACCUAACCUAUCAUCAACAAACCUAACCCAGCAGGACAGAGAAUCUCCGCAGGUGGAAAGGACAUUGAAUGCAACCCUAGUGUUUCUGUGCCAUGAAUGUGUGUGAUGGCUGGUUCUGUGGCUGUUUCAUUGUUUAAAGUUCCAGUUGUAUCCAAAAAAUAAACUGUGCAAUGCUCUCUUGAUCGGAUGAGAGGUCUAACGUGGACG